This 497-nucleotide ribosomal RNA is filed under the name uncultured bacterium. Its description in RNAcentral is "partial 16S ribosomal RNA". It matches the Rfam family "Bacterial small subunit ribosomal RNA", at positions 28 to 507 of the family's 1533-position model. The record is from RNAcentral.
GAUGAACGCUGGCGGCGUGCCUAAUACAUGCAAGUCGAGCGAACAGAUGAGGAGCUUGCUCCUCUGACGUUAGCGGCGGACGGGUGAGUAACACGUGGAUAACCUACCUAUAAGACUGGGAGAACUUCGGGAAACCGGAGCUAAUACCGGAUAAUAUAUUGAACCGCAUGGUUCAAUAGUGAAAGACGGUUUUGCUGUCACUUAGAGAUGGAUCCGCGCCGCAUUAGCUAGUUGGUAAGGUAACGGCUUACCAAGGCAACGAUGCGUAGCCGACCUGAGAGGGUGAUCCGCCACACUGGAACUGAGACACGGUCCAGACUCCUACGGGAGGCAGCAGUAGGGAAUCUUCCGCAAUGGGCGCAAGCCUGACGGAGCCACGCCGCGUGAGUGAUGAAGGUCUUCGGAUCGUAAAACUCUGUUAUUAGGGAAGAACAAAUGUGUAAGUAACUAUGCACGUCUUGACGGUACCUAAUCAGAAAGCCACGGCUAACUACGUG